GACGAACGCUGGCGGCGUGCCUAAUACAUGCAAGUCGAACGAAGUGGCGAACGGGUGAGUAACGUGUAAUCAACCUGCCCUUCAGAGGGGUACAACCGUUUGAAACGACUGCUAAUACCGCCUACUGAAGGUGGGUCUUUCGUCUGAUUAGCUAGUUGGAGGGGUAACGGCCCACCAAGGCGAUGUUCAGUAGCCGGUCUGAGAGGAUGAACGGCCACAUUGGGACUGAGACACGGCCCAGACUCCUACGGGAGGCAGCAGUGGGGAAUCUUCCGCAAUGGACGAAAGUCUGACGGAGCAACGCCGCGUGAGUGAUGACGGCCUUCGGGUUGUAAAGCUCUGUUAAUCGGGACGCGGUACCGGAAUAGAAAGCCACGGCUAACUACGUGCCAGCAGCCGCGGUAAUUC
RNAcentral lists this ribosomal RNA (408 nucleotides) under uncultured bacterium. RNAcentral's name for it is "partial 16S ribosomal RNA". It matches the Rfam family "Bacterial small subunit ribosomal RNA", at positions 28 to 526 of the family's 1533-position model. The record is from RNAcentral.